GGGAUUCCCACUUGUGAUUUCAUAGAGGCCUGCUACAUAGCUAAUGCCUGUGGUGUGGUCUAAUUCUGUACCUAGAGCCUGGCUGCCAGGGAGCCAGCUUCCCUCACAUUGGCAGGGUGGUACUCCGGUUACAUAACCCCAGACUCUUUGAGGAGAAGGUUAAGGGAUAAAGAAAUCUACCAUCUGAAAGAGACUACCUUCCAAAUGGUGUCAUGAAGCCUUGGGCUCACAGGAUCAUAGAACCUGAGUCAGAAGGGGCUUUGGAGAAGCCCACUGUCUUUUGGCAGCAGCUCCCAGGUGGAAUCUUCCUGGAAUGUUGGAGUGAAGAUCUUACAGGAUUACCAGUGUGUAACCACUUCCAGAAUAGCAGAAGCAUAACAAACAUGGAAAUAUGCAUUGCACAAUAGCCCAUGUUUAAUCUAUGUCAUAUUACCUGUCACCUCAGCAAGAGGGGAGAAGAAGAAUAGAGGGAGAGAACAUGGAUCUCAGAAUGUCAGAAAAUGAAUAUUCAAAAUUACAUUUACAUAUAAUCUGAAAAAAGAAGGACUUGGGCCCAGGUCUUUCUGACUUUAAGGAAGGUGUCCUAUCCAUUAUACCAUGCUCCUUUUUUUUUAUAUGAAUCUUAAAUACUUCAAUGAUUUAAAGGAUUUAUGACCUCAUCAAUACAUAUACUCUCUUCAUGGAAACAGAUUGCAAGCCAUCC
RNAcentral lists this long non-coding RNA (703 nucleotides) under Monodelphis domestica (gray short-tailed opossum). RNAcentral describes it as "lncRNA (ENSMODG00000041591.1)". The record is from RNAcentral. Lineage: Eukaryota; Metazoa; Chordata; Mammalia; Didelphimorphia; Didelphidae.